This 401-nucleotide ribosomal RNA is filed under the name uncultured Sphingobacteriales bacterium. RNAcentral describes it as "bacterial SSU rRNA". It matches the Rfam family "Bacterial small subunit ribosomal RNA", at positions 981 to 1382 of the family's 1533-position model. Lineage: Bacteria; Pseudomonadati; Bacteroidota; Sphingobacteriia; Sphingobacteriales. The record is from RNAcentral.
UCGAACGUAAGAUGACUGUAGGUGAAAGCUUACAUCUCUUCGGAGCAUUUUACGAGGUGCUGCAUGGUUGUCGUCAGCUCGUGCCGUGAGGUGUCGGGUUAAGUCCCAUAACGAGCGCAACCCCUACCUUUAGUUGCCAUCAGGUUAAGCUGGGGACUCUAAAGGAACUGCCUACGCAAGUAGUGAGGAAGGCGGGGAUGACGUCAAAUCAGCACGGCCCUUACGUCCAGGGCUACACACGUGCUACAAUGGCCGAUACAGAGGGCAGCUACCUGGUGACAGGAUGCAAAUCUCCAAAGUCGGUCUCAGUUCGGAUCGGAGUCUGCAACCCGACUCCGUGAAGUUGGAUUCGCUAGUAAUCGCGCAUCAGCCAUGGCGCGGUGAAUACGUUCCCGGGCCUU